UGUGUGUGUCGACCUGGGCUAGAGAAAGAAAGGGGAAACCCUCAAGCAUUUGCAAUUCAGCAAAAUUGAAAGGAGAAUUGAGAUUAAACUUGAUGCAUGAAUCCUAAUAUAUGAUCAUCUAAGCUUGCUUAACAAGUGGCAUAAUAAAAGAAGGUCCAAGCAACCGGAAACCUCAAAGCUCGCAAGACCAAGGUAAAACCGCACUAUAAGCGGACUCGCGAGCUUGGAACGAACACACGCACAACUCUUUUUCGCCCUCAACGCGCUUCCGCACUAGUUUAUGCAAUGGGUCAAAACUUUUGGUUGUUUAUGUAGUAAAAGUUUAGUUGUUAGACAUGCUACAAAAACAUGUGAUUAUAACUUUUUUUAAAUGGUAGUUGGUUGUAUCUAGUUUUAAAAGGUCAACUUUGUAUAAUUUG
Helianthus annuus (common sunflower) is the source of this 419-nucleotide long non-coding RNA. RefSeq lists it as uncharacterized. The record is from RefSeq and is a predicted model, not a curated record. The transcript is spliced from 3 exons. Lineage: Eukaryota; Viridiplantae; Streptophyta; Magnoliopsida; Asterales; Asteraceae.